CCUCAGUAACGGCGAGUGAAGCGGUAACAGCUCAAAUUUGAAAUCUGGCUCUUUUAGGGUNCGAGUUGUAAUUUGUAGAAGAUGCUUUGGGUGUGGCCCUGGUCUAAGUUCCUUGGAACAGGACGUCAUAGAGGGUGAGAAUCCCGUAUGUGACUAGGUGCUUUCGCCCGUGUAAAGCUCUUUCGACGAGUCGAGUUGUUUGGGAAUGCAGCUCAAAAUGGGUGGUAAAUUUCAUCUAAAGCUAAAUAUUGGCCAGAGACCGAUAGCGCACAAGUAGAGUGAUCGAAAGAUGAAAAGCACUUUGGAAAGAGAGUUAAACAGUACGUGAAAUUGUUGAAAGGGAAGCGCUUGCAACCAGACUUAGCUGCUGUCGAUCAUCUAGGGUUCUCCCUGGUGCACUCGAUAGUAUCUAGGCCAGCAUCGGUUUGGGUGGUGGGAUAAAGGCCUUGGGAAUGUAGCUCCUUUCGGGGAGUGUUAUAGCCCUCGGUGCAAUGCCGCCUACCUGGACCGAGGACCGCGCUUUGGCUAGGAUGCUGGCGUAAUGGUUGUAAGCGACC
Molecule: ribosomal RNA, 557 nt
Filed under: uncultured fungus
Lineage: Eukaryota; Fungi
Description: eukaryotic LSU rRNA
Rfam family: Eukaryotic large subunit ribosomal RNA
Source: RNAcentral